CUGGUUGUGAAUUUCAACCAAAUGGGUGAAUGGUAGUCACUGGGGGCACUUGUCAAUGGUAUUUGGUUUGCAUACUAAAGCUUACUGUACUUGGCUUUGUUCAGCCUUUCUUGAUGUUGGCUGUCGAGAACUUGUCCAUUUUCCCUUCAUAUCAAAGAAGAUACUCCAGUUCAUUAGGGAAACAGCAUCGCUGGGUUUACGUCACCAAAUCAAAAAAACUAAUAUGAGUUAAUUAGUGUGCUUUAUCGAUAUAGGGGGUUCUAAUAUCAUGUCUUGGUUGUCAUGAGAAUUAUUUUGAUGGAAACUAUUUAGGGUUCGUUGCUGUAUGUUCAUAAUGAAUUAUAACCAUUUCUGCAA
RNAcentral lists this unclassified non-coding RNA (357 nucleotides) under Hevea brasiliensis (rubber tree). The record is from RNAcentral. Lineage: Eukaryota; Viridiplantae; Streptophyta; Magnoliopsida; Malpighiales; Euphorbiaceae.